GGAUGUAAGGGUGAUCUGGCUGUGAUAUCUGUCGCCCAUUGAUCCCCAGGACUGAUAUUGCUCAUCUGGCUGGCUGAUAUGAUGUCUCUUUCCUCCUUCAUCACUCCAUGUGUGUCCCCCGCAGAGCUACACCACAUUCCCUGAUCAGAGAGGGCCAUUCUACAGUUCAGGCUAUAUGAGCAACUGUGCCCCCCUGCUGGAACUUCCAAAUAAGCUCUCAAGGUUCAAAAAGGAAGCAAAAGGCUUAAAAUCCCCUACAUAAACUCUGUGAAUUGAAAGAGA
This is an unclassified non-coding RNA of Cavia porcellus (domestic guinea pig), 282 nucleotides long. Its record names the gene 7SK. It matches the Rfam family "7SK RNA". Rfam says of the family: 7SK was discovered as an abundant small nuclear RNA in the mid-70s but a possible function has only recently been suggested. Two independent studies have found that 7SK RNA binds the CDK9/cyclin T complex (known as elongation factor P-TEFb). Lineage: Eukaryota; Metazoa; Chordata; Mammalia; Rodentia; Caviidae. The record is from Ensembl.